GGCCAUAAGUUUUAACUCUCCUGUUAAAUGAAUUCAGGCCCAUAGUGGGGCCCGUUUAGAGAGAGAAGAAAAAAACCGACCCGCAUUAAUCACCGUCCGGUAAAGGAAAAAAAUCUAGAAUGUACCGGAUAUAUUGCUGAUGUGGUAUUUCCAACCAAUAAAAUUAUCCUUCUUCGAUUGAUAUGUCUAAUCAUGAUUAAUAAAAAAGGAAUAAUUGCUUAUAUACUCCUCAAAACUUCGAAAAUAUCUCAUUUAUCCCUUUUUUUUUUCUUUCCAAUAUAUCCCUCGUAUGUUCCUCCGUUAUUUCAAAAUAUUCCUACCCUUACCACCCAUUGAGUUAACGUGGGUUAAACGUGAGUUAAAUAUCUACCACAGUUUAAAAAAAUUAAAAUGCCACUUUUGCCCUUAACUUAAGGGCAAAUAAGAAAUGUUAGUGAUUGUAGAACGGUAUAUUUGAAAAGAAUCAAAAAGUAAAAUACUUUUUGUAUCCCAACUUAAGGACAAAUAAGAAAGGUCAGUAAUGAUAGAAGGGUAUAUUUGAGAGGGCAAAAUAGUAAUUUCAUAGAGAUAACAGAGUUCAUUAACAGAUUUCAACUCUAAGGAUAUAUUUGAAAUAGGUUAGAACGUAAAAAGGAUAUUUUCAAUAUUAGCCUUCUAAGAGUGGUAAAUCAGAAAUUCGGAAAGUUUUCAAGAGUAUAUAAACAAUUGCCCCAAUAAAAAAUUAUUUUUAUUAUAUUUUUGAUAUAACUGACUUGUUACUAAUGAUGUGGUACAAGUAUGACAUUGUAGGCCGCAUUC
This 798-nucleotide long non-coding RNA is filed under the name Ananas comosus (pineapple). Its description in RNAcentral is "long non-coding RNA (ACOM_LNC005993)". Lineage: Eukaryota; Viridiplantae; Streptophyta; Magnoliopsida; Poales; Bromeliaceae. The record is from RNAcentral.